UGCAUAUCAAUAAGCGGAGGAAAAGAAACCAACAGGGAUUGCCCUAGUAACGGCGAGUGAAGCGGCAAGAGCUCAAAUUUGAAAUCUGGCUCCUCCGGGGUCCGAGUUGUAAUUUGCAGAGGAUGCUUCGGGUGCGGUCCCCGUCUAAGUACCCUGGAAUGGGUCGUCAUAGAGGGUGAGAAUCCCGUCUGGGACGGGUGGCCGUGUCCGUGUGAAGCUCCUUCGACGAGUCGAGUUGUUUGGGAAUGCAGCUCUAAAUGGGUGGUAAAUUUCAUCUAAAGCUAAAUAUUGGCCGGAGACCGAUAGCGCACAAGUAGAGUGAUCGAAAGAUGAAAAGCACUUUGAAAAGAGAGUUAAACAGCACGUGAAAUUGUUGAAAGGGAAGCGCUUGCGACCAGACUCGCCCGCGGGGGUUCAGCCGGUACUCGUACCGGUGUACUCCCCCGUGGGCGGGCCAGCGUCGGUUUGGGCGGCCGGUCAAAGGCCUCCGGAAUGUAUCGCCCUUCGGGGCGUCUUAUAGCCGGGGGUGCAAUGCGGCCAGCCUGGACCGAGGAACGCGCUUCGGCUCGGACGCUGGCGUAAUGGUCGUAAGCGGCCCGU
This 600-nucleotide ribosomal RNA is filed under the name Clavicipitaceae sp. IARI-RPF-3. Its description in RNAcentral is "eukaryotic LSU rRNA". It matches the Rfam family "Eukaryotic large subunit ribosomal RNA", at positions 37 to 652 of the family's 3401-position model. Lineage: Eukaryota; Fungi; Ascomycota; Sordariomycetes; Hypocreales; Clavicipitaceae. The record is from RNAcentral.